Molecule: transfer RNA, 64 nt
Filed under: Trypetoptera punctulata
Lineage: Eukaryota; Metazoa; Arthropoda; Insecta; Diptera; Sciomyzidae
Description: tRNA-Leu
Source: RNAcentral
UCUAUUUUGGCAGACUAGUGCAGCAAAUUUAGAUUUUGUGUAUGUGAGAGAAUCACAAAUAGAA